RNAcentral lists this ribosomal RNA (494 nucleotides) under uncultured bacterium. Its description in RNAcentral is "partial 16S ribosomal RNA". It matches the Rfam family "Bacterial small subunit ribosomal RNA", at positions 28 to 507 of the family's 1533-position model. The record is from RNAcentral.
GACGAACGCUGGCGGCGUGCUUAACACAUGCAAGUCGAACGGAAAGGCCUGCUUUCCCUUGUGGAUUGCGGGUACUCGAGUGGCGAACGGGUGAGUAACACGUGAGUGAUCUGCCCCCAACUUGGGUAUAAGCCUGGGAAACUGGGUCUAAUUCCCGAUAGGACUGCAGGGUGGUGCCUGUGGUGGAAAACGAUUUUCUAGUGGUUGGGGAUGAGCUCGCGGCCUAUCAGCUUGUUGGUGGGGUAAUGGCCGACCAAGGCGGCGACGGGUAGCCGGCCUGGGAGGGUGGACGGGCACAUUGGGACUGAGAUACGGCCCAGACUCCUACGGGAGGCAGCAGUGGGGAAUAUUGCACGAGGGGCGGAAGCCUGAUGCAGCGACGCCGCGUGGGGGAUGACGGCCUUCGGGUUGUAAACUCCUUUCGACCGCGAGGAAGCCACCUGGUUGGAAGGGUGGUGACGGUAGUGGUAGAAGAAGCACCGGCUAACUACGUG